CCUACGGGAGGCAGCAGUGGGGAAUAUUGCACAAUGGGGGAAACCCUGAUGCAGCAACGCCGCGUGAGUGAAGAAGUAUUUCGGUAUGUAAAGCUCUAUCAGCAGGGAAGAAGAUGACGGUACCUGAUUAAGAAGCCCCGGCUAACUACGUGCCAGCAGCCGCGGUAAUACGUAGGGGGCAAGCGUUAUCCGGAUUUACUGGGUGUAAAGGGAGCGCAGACGGCAGUGCAAGUCUGGAGUGAAAGCCCGGGGCCCAACCCCGGAACUGCUCUGGAAACUGUGCGGCUAGAGUACUGGAGGGGCAGGCGGAAUUCCUAGUGUAGCGGUGAAAUGCGUAGAUAUUAGGAGGAACACCAGUGGCGAAGGCGGCCUGCUGGACAGUAACUGACGUUGAGGCUCGAAAGCGUGGGGAGCAAACAGGAUUAGAUACC
This 431-nucleotide ribosomal RNA is filed under the name uncultured bacterium. Its description in RNAcentral is "bacterial SSU rRNA". It matches the Rfam family "Bacterial small subunit ribosomal RNA", at positions 338 to 786 of the family's 1533-position model. The record is from RNAcentral.